Telopea speciosissima is the source of this 141-nucleotide long non-coding RNA. RefSeq lists it as uncharacterized. The transcript has 2 exons. The record is from RefSeq and is a predicted model, not a curated record. Lineage: Eukaryota; Viridiplantae; Streptophyta; Magnoliopsida; Proteales; Proteaceae.
UAUCUUGAGAAAGAGAGAGAUAGACACAUGAGAGUGAGAUCAUUAUUUCUAAUGCUCGUGAUGGAAGGAAAUGGUUCCAUGUGUAUAGUGAUGAAGUGGUUUUCCUUAAAAUCAAUUUUUAUUUUUUGGUUAUCAUUAAAA